Molecule: small RNA, 571 nt
Filed under: Pan troglodytes (chimpanzee)
Lineage: Eukaryota; Metazoa; Chordata; Mammalia; Primates; Hominidae
Description: processed transcript
Source: RNAcentral
AGCCGAGCUCCGCUGCCGGCCCUGGACACUCGGCUCAGCCAAGCAUCCUUCCUGGGGGCCACUCUGCCGUUCCGAGGACCUGGGAGGAGCCCUCGGUACCCCGGGCCCCGGGGCCCUGGGGCACACACGUCCAGCCCAGCCCGAGCCUGCGUUUCCUGAGCCGGGAUCUGGGGCGAGAUGGCCGCAGGCGGCAGUGCGCCCGAGCCCCGCGUCCUCGUCUGCCUCGGGGCGCUCCUGGCCGGCUGGGUCGCCGUAGGUUGAACUCGCCUUACACCUGUAACCGGUGGACUUCCCUACACACCUUUGCAAGUCUUCCUGUGCCGACCAGCGCCUUCAAAGCGGGGUCUUCCGCCUUUACUUUUGGAAAAGCUUUUUAUUUUGAAAUACUUGGCUGACUUAUAAAAGACUUCCCCUCACACUUGACAUGAUUGACAAAAGCCUCCGGCCAGCUGAGCCUCGCUUCUCUCUAGUGGAUGCCACCUCCCUGCACAUUGAAUCGCUAAGCCUGGAAGAUGAGGGAAACUACACCUGCCAGGAGAUCCUGAAUGUGACUCAGUGGUUCCAAGUGUGG